CGGGGUGUAGCGCAGCUUGGCAGCGCGCUUCGUUCGGGACGAAGAGGUCGUGGGUUCAAAUCCCGCCACCCC
This 72-nucleotide transfer RNA is filed under the name Streptomyces sp. MnatMP-M27. RNAcentral's name for it is "tRNA_Pro_CGG". It matches the Rfam family "tRNA". Rfam says of the family: Transfer RNA (tRNA) molecules are approximately 80 nucleotides in length. The record is from RNAcentral. Lineage: Bacteria; Bacillati; Actinomycetota; Actinomycetes; Kitasatosporales; Streptomycetaceae.